GGUUAAGCGACUAAGCGUACACGGUGGAUGCCCUGGCAGUCAGAGGCGAUGAAGGACGUGCUAAUCUGCGAUAAGCGUCGGUAAGGUGAUAUGAACCGUUAUAACCGGCGAUUUCCGAAUGGGGAAACCCAGUGUGUUUCGACACACUAUCAUUAACUGAAUCCAUAGGUUAAUGAGGCGAACCGGGGGAACUGAAACAUCUAAGUACCCCGAGGAAAAGAAAUCAACCGAGAUUCCCCCAGUAGCGGCGAGCGAACGGGGAGCAGCCCAGAGCCUGAAUCAGUGUGUGUGUUAGUGGAAGCGUCUGGAAAGGCGCGCGAUACAGGGUGACAGCCCCGUACACAAAAAUGCACAUGCUGUGAGCUCGAUGAGUAGGGCGGGACACGUGGUAUCCUGUCUGAAUAUGGGGGGACCAUCCUCCAAGGCUAAAUACUCCUGACUGACCGAUAGUGAACCAGUACCGUGAGGGAAAGGCGAAAAGAACCCCGGCGAGGGGAGUGAAAAAGAACCUGAAACCGUGUACGUACAAGCAGUGGGAGCACGCUUCGGCGUGUGACUGCGUACCUUUUGUAUAAUGGGUCAGCGACUUAUAUUCUGUAGCAAGGUUAACCGAAUAGGGGAGCCGAAGGGAAACCGAGUCUUAACUGGGCGUUAAGUUGCAGGGUAUAGACCCGAAACCCGGUGAUCUAGCCAUGGGCAGGUUGAAGGUUGGGUAACACUAACUGGAGGACCGAACCGACUAAUGUUGAAAAAUUAGCGGAUGACUUGUGGCUGGGGGUGAAAGGCCAAUCAAACCGGGAGAUAGCUGGUUCUCCCCGAAAGCUAUUUAGGUAGCGCCUCGUGAAUUCAUCUCCGGGGGUAGAGCACUGUUUCGGCAAGGGGGUCAUCCCGACUUACCAACCCGAUGCAAACUGCGAAUACCGGAGAAUGUUAUCACGGGAGACACACGGCGGGUGCUAACGUCCGUCGUGAAGAGGGAAACAACCCAGACCGCCAGCUAAGGUCCCAAAGUCAUGGUUAAGUGGGAAACGAUGUGGGAAGGCCCAGACAGCCAGGAUGUUGGCUUAGAAGCAGCCAUCAUUUAAAGAAAGCGUAAUAGCUCACUGGUCGAGUCGGCCUGCGCGGAAGAUGUAACGGGGCUAAACCAUGCACCGAAGCUGCGGCAGCGACACUGUGUGUUGUUGGGUAGGGGAGCGUUCUGUAAGCCUGUGAAGGUGUACUGUGAGGUAUGCUGGAGGUAUCAGAAGUGCGAAUGCUGACAUAAGUAACGAUAAAGCGGGUGAAAAGCCCGCUCGCCGGAAGACCAAGGGUUCCUGUCCAACGUUAAUCGGGGCAGGGUGAGUCGACCCCUAAGGCGAGGCCGAAAGGCGUAGUCGAUGGGAAACAGGUUAAUAUUCCUGUACUUGGUGUUACUGCGAAGGGGGGACGGAGAAGGCUAUGUUGGCCGGGCGACGGUUGUCCCGGUUUAAGCGUGUAGGCUGGUUUUCCAGGCAAAUCCGGAAAAUCAAGGCUGAGGCGUGAUGACGAGGCACUACGGUGCUGAAGCAACAAAUGCCCUGCUUCCAGGAAAAGCCUCUAAGCAUCAGGUAACAUCAAAUCGUACCCCAAACCGACACAGGUGGUCAGGUAGAGAAUACCAAGGCGCUUGAGAGAACUCGGGUGAAGGAACUAGGCAAAAUGGUGCCGUAACUUCGGGAGAAGGCACGCUGAUAUGUAGGUGAAGCGACUUGCUCGUGGAGCUGAAAUCAGUCGAAGAUACCAGCUGGCUGCAACUGUUUAUUAAAAACACAGCACUGUGCAAACACGAAAGUGGACGUAUACGGUGUGACGCCUGCCCGGUGCCGGAAGGUUAAUUGAUGGGGUCAGCGCAAGCGAAGCUCUUGAUCGAAGCCCCGGUAAACGGCGGCCGUAACUAUAACGGUCCUAAGGUAGCGAAAUUCCUUGUCGGGUAAGUUCCGACCUGCACGAAUGGCGUAAUGAUGGCCAGGCUGUCUCCACCCGAGACUCAGUGAAAUUGAACUCGCUGUGAAGAUGCAGUGUACCCGCGGCAAGACGGAAAGACCCCGUGAACCUUUACUAUAGCUUGACACUGAACAUUGAGCCUUGAUGUGUAGGAUAGGUGGGAGGCUUGGAAGUGUGGACGCCAGUCUGCAUGGAGCCGACCUUGAAAUACCACCCUUUAAUGUUUGAUGUUCUAACGUUGACCCGUAAUCCGGGUUGCGGACAGUGUCUGGUGGGUAGUUUGACUGGGGCGGUCUCCUCCUAAAGAGUAACGGAGGAGCACGAAGGUUGGCUAAUCCUGGUCGGACAUCAGGAGGUUAGUGCAAUGGCAUAAGCCAGCUUGACUGCGAGCGUGACGGCGCGAGCAGGUGCGAAAGCAGGUCAUAGUGAUCCGGUGGUUCUGAAUGGAAGGGCCAUCGCUCAACGGAUAAAAGGUACUCCGGGGAUAACAGGCUGAUACCGCCCAAGAGUUCAUAUCGACGGCGGUGUUUGGCACCUCGAUGUCGGCUCAUCACAUCCUGGGGCUGAAGUAGGUCCCAAGGGUAUGGCUGUUCGCCAUUUAAAGUGGUACGCGAGCUGGGUUUAGAACGUCGUGAGACAGUUCGGUCCCUAUCUGCCGUGGGCGCUGGAGAACUGAGGGGGGCUGCUCCUAGUACGAGAGGACCGGAGUGGACGCAUCACUGGUGUUCGGGUUGUCAUGCCAAUGGCACUGCCCGGUAGCUAAAUGCGGAAGAGAUAAGUGCUGAAAGCAUCUAAGCACGAAACUUGCCCCGAGAUGAGUUCUCCCUGACUCCUUGAGAGUCCUGAAGGAACGUUGAAGACGACGACGUUGAUAGGCCGGGUGUGUAAGCGCAGCGAUGCGUUGAGCUAACCGGUACUAAUGAACCGUGAGGCUUAACCUU
RNAcentral lists this ribosomal RNA (2903 nucleotides) under Escherichia coli. RNAcentral's name for it is "23S ribosomal RNA". It matches the Rfam family "Bacterial large subunit ribosomal RNA". The record is from RNAcentral. Lineage: Bacteria; Pseudomonadati; Pseudomonadota; Gammaproteobacteria; Enterobacterales; Enterobacteriaceae.